Molecule: ribosomal RNA, 505 nt
Filed under: Selenopsocus sp. KY-2004
Lineage: Eukaryota; Metazoa; Arthropoda; Insecta; Psocodea; Troctopsocidae
Description: partial 16S ribosomal RNA
Source: RNAcentral
UCUUUUUGAGAUUUAUUGAAAGUCUAAUCUGCUCACUGAAUAAUUUAAAUAGCCGCAGUAUAUUAACUGUGCAAAGGUAGCAUAAUCAAUAGUUUUUUAAUUGAGAACUGGAAUGAACGAUUGGACAAGAUAUAAUUUUUUUUUAUUUUAAAUUUGGAACUUGGAUUUUAAAUGAAAAUAUUUAAUUUUUUAUAUUAGACGAGAAGACCCUAUAGAUUUUUAUUAUUUUGUUUUAUUGAUUUUUAGGAGAGUUAGAAUUAAUAAAGUUAAAUUAAAUUGAUUGGGGUGAUUUAUAAAAUUUUGAACAUUAUUGUUUUGUAAAACUUAAUAAGAGGAUUUUUUGAUUUAUUUUUAAUAGUUGAUAGAUUAAAUUACCUUAGGGAUAACAGCGUAAUAGUGCUUGGAAGUUCAUAUUUAUAGUAGUGAUUGCGACCUCGAUGUUGAAUUAAGAAAUUAUUAUAGAAGCAGAAGUUUAUAAACAUUAGUCUGUUCGACUAUUAAAUAC